This 253-nucleotide ribosomal RNA is filed under the name uncultured bacterium. RNAcentral's name for it is "partial 16S ribosomal RNA". It matches the Rfam family "Bacterial small subunit ribosomal RNA", at positions 524 to 776 of the family's 1533-position model. The record is from RNAcentral.
UACGUAGGGGGCGGGCGUUGUCCGGAAUUAUUGGGCGUAAAGAGCUUGUAGGCGGUCUGUCGCGUCUGCUGUGAAAAUCCGGAGCUCAACCCCGGACUUGCAGUGGGUACGGGCAGACUAGAGUGUGGUAGGGGAGACUGGAAUUCCUGGUGUAGCGGUGAAAUGCGCAGAUAUCAGGAGGAACACCGAUGGCGAAGGCAGGUCUCUGGGCCGCUACUGACGCUGAGAAGCGAAAGCAUGGGGAGCGAACAGG